Molecule: ribosomal RNA, 537 nt
Filed under: uncultured bacterium
Lineage: Bacteria
Description: bacterial SSU rRNA
Rfam family: Bacterial small subunit ribosomal RNA
Source: RNAcentral
AAUAGAUACCCUGGUAGUCCACGCCGUAAACGAUGAGUGCUAGGUGUUGGGGGGACCCCCCUCAGUGCCGCAGGUAACCCAAUAAGCACUCCGCCUGGGGAGUACGGUCGCAAGACUGAAACUCAAAGGAAUUGACGGGGGCCCGCACAAGCGGUGGAGCAUGUGGUUUAAUUCGAGGCAACGCGAAGAACCUUACCAGGGCUUGACAUCCCGCUGACCGGUGUAGAGAUAUGCCUUUCCCCUUCGGGGGACAGCGGUGACAGGUGGUGCAUGGUUGUCGUCAGCUCGUGUCGUGAGAUGUUGGGUUCAGUCCCGCAACGAGCGCAACCCUUGUUCUAGUUGCCAGCACUUCGGGUGGGCACUCUAGAGAGACAGCCGGUGAAAGCCGGAGGAAGGUGGGGAUGACGUCAAAUCAUCAUGCCCCUUAUGUCCUGGGCUACACACGUGCUACAAUGGCUGGUACAAAGGGCAGCGAACCCGCGAGGGGGAGCCAAUCCCAAAAAACCAGUCUCAGUUCGGAUUGCAGGCUGCAACUCG